This 806-nucleotide long non-coding RNA is filed under the name Nicotiana tabacum (common tobacco). RNAcentral's name for it is "long non-coding RNA (NTAB_LNC009337)". Lineage: Eukaryota; Viridiplantae; Streptophyta; Magnoliopsida; Solanales; Solanaceae. The record is from RNAcentral.
UUUUUUUUGGGAUUCGCCGUUGAUAAUCUCCUCGUCCACGCGAUUCAGUCGCCGUUCAUACUCUUCCGUUAUCCCACGCGCCGGUACAUUAUUCGCAUUGUAUUCUGUUAAUGUUCUGUCUGUCUCGUGGUUUACUUAAUUUUGUUUUCUGUUAAUCUUUUGCUUCAUACUGAGGCGAAGCUAUAAUUUUAACCUUAUGAGUUUUAGAUUUUAGAACGACAACUUCACGUGCUAAUAACUAGGUUUUACGUUUAAUAUUUGUUCGUAUUUAAUGAAUUUUUUAACACAAAUAAUGUAUUUGAGCAAAAGUUACUGGGUUCGUUUGAUCCUGUAUUCAGGCUUCUAGCUCGGCCCCUGACUUCAUAGAUAAUAAUAGAGUAUAAUGCAAAUAAAGUUGGUGAGAAACUUGUAUAUAGUGUGUAGGAUAAAUGUGGCAAUUAGAAAAUUUCUUUUGUUGUAUAAGAAUGUCUAAUUUGGCUUAGAGGAUAAAUUGUUUAAUAUUGAUAAGAAAUGGAUCCAAUAAAGCAAAAUGAAUAUAGAGGAUUUAUAGUUGAACUCUUGGCUUCAAGAUUUGCGUGGUGAUUGAUCUUGUUUGAUGUGUAUUUUCAUGCUUGAGAUCGUUUAUAGGCGUUUUUGUUUUAGUGUCCAGGGGAUAUGGUGUCAUCAAUUGAUUACAGUAUUAACAAGGAAGUUAAUACAAAUUAUUUAGCAUUGGAACGGAAUGGAUCUGAAUAAAGCUAAAGGGAUAUAAAGGAAUGUUUGGGAUUACGCUGGAUAUGUUGUUGUUGUUGCUGAUGUAAGUCGUG